AUACGUAGGGGGCGAGCGUUGUCCGGAAUGAUUGGGCGUAAAGGGCGCGUAGGCGGCCCGGUAAGUCUGGAGUGAAAGUCCCGCAUUCAAUGUGGGAAUUGCUUUGGAUACUGCAGUGCUAGAGUGCGGAAGAGGUAAGUGGAAUUCCCAGUGUAGCGGUGAAAUGCGUAGAGAUUGGGAGGAACACCAGUGGCGAAGGCGACGUACUGGGCCGUAACUGACGCUGAGGCGCGAAAGCGUGGGGAGCGAACAGGAUUAGAUACCCUGGUAGUCCACGCGGUAAACGAUGAAUGCUAGGUGUAGGAGGUAUCGACCCCUUCUGUGCCGGAGUUAACGCAAUAAGUACCCCGCCUGGGGACUACGGUCGCAAGACUAAAACUUAAAGGAAUUGACGGGU
This 397-nucleotide ribosomal RNA is filed under the name uncultured bacterium. RNAcentral's name for it is "partial 16S ribosomal RNA". It matches the Rfam family "Bacterial small subunit ribosomal RNA", at positions 523 to 918 of the family's 1533-position model. The record is from RNAcentral.